AGUGAACGCUGGCGGUAGGCCUAACACAUGCAAGUCGAACGGCAGCACAGAGGAGCUUGCUCCCUGGGUGGCGAGUGGCGGACGGGUGAGGAAUACAUCGGAAUCUACUCUGUCGUGGGGGAUAACGUAGGGAAACUUACGCUAAUACCGCAUACGACCUACGGGUGAAAGCAGGGGACCUUCGGGCCUUGCGCGAUUGAAUGAGCCGAUGUCGGAUUAGCUAGUUGGCGGGGUAAAGGCCCACCAAGGCGACGAUCCGUAGCUGGUCUGAGAGGAUGAUCAGCCACACUGGAACUAAGACACGGUCCAGACUCCUACGGGAGGCAGCAGUGGGGAAUAUUGGACAAUGGGCGCAAGCCUGAUCCAGCCAUACCGCGUGGGUGAAGAAGGCCUUCGGGUUGUAAAGCCCUUUUGUUGGGAAAGAAAUCCAGCUGGCUAAUACCCGGUUGGGAUGACGGUACCCAAAGAAUAAGCACCGGCUAACUUCGUGCCAGCAGCCGCAGUAA
RNAcentral lists this ribosomal RNA (506 nucleotides) under uncultured bacterium. RNAcentral's name for it is "partial 16S ribosomal RNA". It matches the Rfam family "Bacterial small subunit ribosomal RNA", at positions 29 to 523 of the family's 1533-position model. The record is from RNAcentral.